UACGUAGGGUGCGAGCGUUGUCCGGAAUUAUUGGGCGUAAAGAGCUCGUAGGCGGUGUGUCACGUCGGCCGUGAAAACCUGCAGCUUAACUGUGGGCGUGCGGUCGAUACGGGCAGACUUGAGGUAUUCAGGGGAGAGCGGAAUUCCUGGUGUAGCGGUGAAAUGCGCAGAUAUCAGGAGGAACACCGGUGGCGAAGGCGGUUCUCUGGGAAUAUCCUGACGCUGAGGAGCGAAAGUGUGGGGAGCGAACAGG
Molecule: ribosomal RNA, 253 nt
Filed under: uncultured bacterium
Lineage: Bacteria
Description: partial 16S ribosomal RNA
Rfam family: Bacterial small subunit ribosomal RNA
Source: RNAcentral